This 3993-nucleotide long non-coding RNA is filed under the name Strongylocentrotus purpuratus (purple sea urchin). Its description in RNAcentral is "degenerin mec-10". Lineage: Eukaryota; Metazoa; Echinodermata; Echinoidea; Camarodonta; Strongylocentrotidae. The record is from RNAcentral.
AUGGAGGGACUGGAGUCUCGGAACAAAAAGAGCCGUGAGGUUCAAUCGGAGGAGGGGCGCGAUCGUCAACCCCAUGCCCCCUUUAGAUCUGUCACCUCUCUCUUCUCGUACUUCUUGGAAAACACCACCUUCCACGGCCUGCCCCGAAUCUUUGGCGCCCCUUUCUUUCUGGAGAAGUUAUUUUGGGUGCUGGCGUUCCUCACAUGCCUCGGUGUCUUCACGUAUCAAGGUACCAAGAUCGUCAAAGACUACAUCUCCUACCCCUACUCGACUCGGACCGACAUCAUCACCGAGUCUUCGCUCGACUUCCCCGCCGUCACCAUCUGCAAUGUGAACAUGAUGAGGCGGUCGAAGCUCGUCGAUACCAGGUUCGAAGACCUGAUUGAACUAGAUGGUGAUGCAACAGGGGACACCGAUGACUACUCAUUUUGGUUCGACCAAUCCUUCUACGAACGUUUGGGCUCCGAAAACGGGAAUUCGAAUUCGUCCGGAACUUCAGGUGAAUCAGAUGGGACAUCCAGUAACUCUCCAGAGACUUCAUCUUCACCGGACGAUUCACAAGCAUCUGGACCACAAAAUCUGAACGGAGAAUUCGACUUCUUUGAGAGCUCCUGGGACGAUAGUUCUUUUGACUUCAGCUUCUACGACACAUGGGAAGGAAUAACAGAUGACAAUGAUUGGCAAGCCAUCUAUAAUCAAUCUCAGUCGCCCGAUUUCUCGGACCUCAGGGCUCUCCUCAACCCGACUCAGGCCGAACUCCAGGAAUACGGACACCAAGCUGAAGAUUUCAUCCUUCAGUGUAGCUUUGACCAACGCGCCUGCAGUUACAGAAAUUUCACGAUGUUUCAGCACAGCGAGUACGGGAAUUGUUUUACUUUUAAUGGAAGGACAUUAGAGGAACCUUUCAACAAGACAAGGAGAACAGGCAGGACUGGGGCAAACUAUGGUUUGCAGCUAACGCUCUUCGUGGAACAGCCUGAGCAUGUAGGACUUCUGACAGCAGAGUCAGGUGUAAAGGUAUCCAUCCACAGCCAGACUGAACAACCCUUCCCAGAAGAUGAUGGGCUUACCGCCUCCACCGGUCAGAAGACAGCCAUCGGUGUUAGGAAGCUCAACAUCACGCGGCUCGGCGGUUCUUAUGGCGAAGAAUGCACAAAAGCAGGAGAAGGCACCAACUUCACCUCGGAGACGUCCUCCUACACGGUCAACGCCUGCCUGAAGCAAUGUCUGCAGGAUACUCUACGCAAAUCAUGUGGUUGCAUUACAGACAUCAGGUUUGGCAACUACACGCAGUGCAGCUCUCUUAAUCCAACACAAGAAAGGUGUCGUCAGCUUGUGGAAUAUCUUUACCACUCUAGUACCUUGGAGUGUACUUGUCCAAUAUCAUGCAGUGAGGAGUCAUUCAGACGAACCGUGUCAGCAUCGCUAUGGCCAUCGACAAGAUAUGAGGUACACCUUGCCAAGCAGCUAGUGAGCAUCAACAGCAAGAUAGAAAGGAUCAUUGCAGAUGUGGAGAAAACCAGGCAAAAUGUCGUAAAUCUGGUGGUCUUUUUCGAGCAGCUUAACUAUGAGCUAAAUCAACAGUUGGCCGUUUACACCGUGGAGAGUCUUCUUGGGAGCGUGGGAGGUCUACUCGGUCUGUACCUCGGACUAUCCUUCAUGUCUAUCGGAGAGAUAAUAAUCCUCCUUCUCGGCUUCCUUAAAAUAUUUGGCGGGAAUGUCCUGUGCUCGUCCUGCAGAUCCAAAAGCGAAACAGCUGACCACGAACACGAUGACAGGUCGAAUUCGCAAUCUACUCAGACGACGUCGGACAUGAACGAUUACGAUGAAGGAACCCGUCGAACUCCGUGGUAUCGUUGUUUGGUGGCGUUAGCUACACUGUUUGUAUUUGCCUCGAUGGUAGCCGUCGUCGCUCUCGUAAUGCUGUUCGAACUCGGAGUCAUCAGUAUAAAUUAAUGAUACUCCACAAAGCAGCAAAUAAUGGUAUUUUGGUUAAAGUAGAGAAAUGUAAUGAUGGGGCCAAAGCUGGGCAGGCCCGUAGUGUUCAUUAACCGAAGGAUGUGGCAAUACUUAUAGAAAUUAGGCUUCUAUUGAAUUCUUUCUGGAAAGUGAGUAGCAAUGAGCAAGAACAAACAAACCAGAGUUCAGAACUUUGGAAAUGUUUGGAAUUUUGAACAUGUGAGAAGACUAUUCAUAUCAUAUCAGAAUAAGAUUUUUUUUCUUCAUAUUUAAGAGAAAUAAACAAAGGUCUAGCUAAUUUGCAUUUUACGAGUGAAUUUUAUCAACACUUUUAUUCUUCAAGGGAUAUUUUAGUGCCUUUGGGGCCUCGGAAAAAAGUGUGGUAUUCCUUUUAAACUUCUUAGAAUAACAUUUUAUUUUAUAUAAGUAGGCUUGAUUCGUAAAAUUAUAUCCGAAAAAGUAACUAGUAAAGAAUAGAUCCCUGAAAAUACAUUGAGUUAAAGCUGAAAGGAAUGUAUCUUACACGUGAAUGCUAUCAAUAUAUUUGUUCUGCAAGGUAUAUGUUUUAAGUGCUUUGGGGGCCUCGACAAAAAAAGUGUGGUAGUAUUGUUAGAAGACAGAAAUUUCCUUUCAGAAAAUAGGAACUAUUUGAUCCGAUGUUCAGAGUUGUGUUUUCAAUGGAGACGUAUUAACUGGAUAUUUUCGUAUUGAGAAAGGUGUGAGACAAGGUGACCCUUUGUCUCCCUCUCUAUUUUUACUCUGCAUUUACAUUCUUGCUCGCGCAAUUCGCAGCGAUUCGGUUAUUCAUGGGGUUCCCUUUGAUGAUAUUUACGUUAAUAAAUUCUUUAAUCAGAUGAAAUGUCGCUGUCUAUUCAAGAUAUUUAAUCUUUUAAUAGACUAAAAACAUUAUUGACUAGUUUUGCUGAUGUGUCUAGAUUGAAGAUGAAUAGAGACAAAACUUUUGUAUUAUUGUUAGGUCCAAUCGCGGAUAAAAAUGCAACAGUUCCAUUUGGUAGGAUAGUUAACAUUGUAAAUAUAUUAGGUAUACACGUUAGACGUGGAAAGCUAGGAAAUAAUUAAUUGCAAAGAAAUCUUAAAUAAAAAUAAUAAGUUACUUAUGUGGUGGAAACAAAAAGAUUUGACUUUGAUGGGGAAAAUUCAACUAAUUAAGACUUUUGUUCUAUCAAAAUUAGUUUAUGUAUCCUCAUUCACACCAGUACCGCCUUGGGCAUUCCGUGAAGCUGAAAUGUUAACAUUAGAUUUUGUUAUGGAAUGGAAAAGAUACAAUCAAACAGAGUACUAAGGUUUUAGAUUACGAUAAGGGAGGUCUUAAAUUGAAAGAUGUUCAAUUAUCUAUUCGAAUACAAUACAGUGGGACAUGGAAGAGACUGGAUUUCAAACGACUGUGUAGAUGUGGCUGCAUGUGUUCGGGAAGUGAGAGGGAACUGUGGAGCUUGGGAAGAUUUGGGUAUAUGGAGCGGGAAGGGUGGAUAGGUAAGAUUGUAAUAAUGAUAAUAAUGAUAACAAUAUUUAUAUACCUCACUAAAGAAAUCCAGCCAUCUGAUUGGUCGAAAUUGGAGUCAUGAUUUUAGCCAUUCCCGUAAAGACACGAAAAUGCCAAUACCGGUUAAUAGUCCAAGAGUGAGAUCCGUCGUGCUCCUUGUGUUUGUUAAUUCUUUUAAAAAACGCCAUCAAUAAUUUACGUGGUACAUGUAUUAUAGAUGAAAAUUCAAAAGGCAAGAAGAUGUUUUUUUUCCCAUUUUUGUUGUUGUUGUUAACCCUUUAUAUACGACACAAAUAAUUUUCCUAUGUGAUAGAUAUACCAAACACUUAUUUAAUUGUUUCAAGUGCAACAUUGUACACCGUUGUUAAGAGGGUUUUCAUGGAGCUAAUGAAGACCGGAAAUGGGUAUCUAUUUUGUGCACAGUCAUUGUGUUGCACAAAGCAAUCCUUCCAGCAGUUGGUGCUUAUUGUUUUGUGAAAAAUUACACGUGGUGCAAACGAGCUACCGUGCAGAGAGAUGAAGAAAGCAAC